RNAcentral lists this ribosomal RNA (228 nucleotides) under uncultured bacterium. RNAcentral describes it as "partial 16S ribosomal RNA". It matches the Rfam family "Bacterial small subunit ribosomal RNA", at positions 568 to 796 of the family's 1533-position model. The record is from RNAcentral.
UGCGCAGGCGGGUUAUUAAGUCAGUGGUGAAAUCUCUCGGCUCAACCGAGAAACUGCCAUUGAAACUGAUAAUCUUGAGUAUAGUUGUAGUAGGCGGAAUAUAGCAUGUAGCGGUGAAAUGCUUAGAUAUGCUAUAGAACACCGAUCGCGAAGGCAGCUUACUAAACUAUUACUGACGCUCAUGCACGAAAGCGUGGGGACUAACAGGAUUAGAUACCCUGGUAGUCC